This 631-nucleotide ribosomal RNA is filed under the name uncultured archaeon. RNAcentral describes it as "bacterial SSU rRNA". It matches the Rfam family "Archaeal small subunit ribosomal RNA", at positions 67 to 694 of the family's 1478-position model. The record is from RNAcentral.
CAGUGGUAAUGCACUCGGCAAACGGCUCAGUAACACGUGGGUAAUCUACCAUCAGGUANAGGGAUAACCCCGGAAAACUGGGGAUAAUACCUGAUAGGUGGGGAAGUCUGGAACGACUCUCCGCUCAAAUGCUCCGGCGCCUGAGGAUGAGCCUGCGACCGAUUAGGUUGUUGCCGGUGUAAUGGACCACCAAGCCUGAGAUCGGUACGGGUGUUGAGAGACAGUGCCCGGAGAUGGGGACUGAGACACGGCCCCAGGCCCUACGGGGCGCAGCAGGCGCGAAAACUCCGCAAUACACGAAAGUGUGACGGGGGAACCCCAAGUGCGUUCACGCAAGUGAGUGCUUUUGUGAAGUGUAAAUAGCUUUAUGAAUAAAAGCUGGGUAAGACCGGUGCCAGCCGCCGCGGAAACACCGGCAGCUUGAGUGGUGAUCACUAUUAUUGGGCCUAAAGCGUCCGUAGCCUGUUUGGUAAGUCCUUGGGCAAAUCCUGUCGCUUAACGGCAGGAAUUCUGAGGAUACUGCCAGACUUGAGGUCGAGAGAGGUCGGAGGUACUCCUGGGGUAGCGGUGAAAUGCUAUAAUCCUGGGGGGACCACCAGUGGGCGAAAGCGUCCGACCAGAGCGAGCCUGA